This 344-nucleotide ribosomal RNA is filed under the name uncultured Endozoicomonas sp. Its description in RNAcentral is "bacterial SSU rRNA". It matches the Rfam family "Bacterial small subunit ribosomal RNA", at positions 14 to 356 of the family's 1533-position model. The record is from RNAcentral. Lineage: Bacteria; Pseudomonadati; Pseudomonadota; Gammaproteobacteria; Oceanospirillales; Endozoicomonadaceae.
UGAUCAUGGCUCAGAUUGAACGCUGGCGGCAGGCCUAACACAUGCAAGUCGAGCGGUAGCGGGAAGACUUGCUCUUUGCCGACGAGCGGCGGACGGGUGCGUAACACGUAGGAAUCUGCCCGGUAGUGGGGGAUAGCCCGGAGAAAUCCGGAUUAAUACCGCAUACGCCCUAAGGGGGAAAGCAGGGGAUCUUCGGACCUUGCGCUAUCGGAUGAGCCUGCGUCGGAUUAGCUUGUUGGUGGGGUAAAAGGCCUACCAAGGCGACGAUCCGUAGCUGGUCUGAGAGGAUGAUCAGCCACACUGGGACUGAGACACGGCCCAGACUCCUACGGGAGGCAGCAGUU